CCUAUGGGGCGCAGCAGUGGGGGAUAUUGCACAAUGGGGGAAACCCUGAUGCAGCGACGCCGCGUGAGCGAAGAAGUAUUUCGGUAUGUAAAGCUCUAUCAGCAGGGAAGAAAAUGACGGUACCUGAGUAAGAAGCCCCGGCUAAAUACGUGCCAGCAGCCGCGGUAAUACGUAUGGGGCAAGCGUUAUCCGGAUUUACUGGGUGUAAAGGGAGCGUGGGCGGCCUGGCAAGUCUGAUGUGAAAUACCGGGGCCCAACCCCGGGGCUGCAUUGGAAACUGUCAGGCUGGAGUGUCGGAGAGGCAG
This 305-nucleotide ribosomal RNA is filed under the name uncultured bacterium. Its description in RNAcentral is "bacterial SSU rRNA". It matches the Rfam family "Bacterial small subunit ribosomal RNA", at positions 338 to 660 of the family's 1533-position model. The record is from RNAcentral.